UCUGCAGCCCGACUUGAACGGAGCUCUUUUUUAUGGAACGAAGUGAAGUAAAAAAAGCGGGAGUGGAAGGCGGAAAUGUCU
RNAcentral lists this unclassified non-coding RNA (81 nucleotides) under Kaistella jeonii. Its description in RNAcentral is "Chryseobacterium jeonii Flavo-1 RNA". The record is from RNAcentral. Lineage: Bacteria; Pseudomonadati; Bacteroidota; Flavobacteriia; Flavobacteriales; Weeksellaceae.